UCGGAUUUNGAAUUUNAUUNGCGCCGCGAAUNNGCCCUGCUUAACACAUGCAAGUCGAACGAAGAUUGUAGUAAUACGGUCUUUAGUGGCGAACGGGGUGAGUAACGCGUGGGUGACCUGCCCCGAAGUGUGGGAUACCAGUCCGAAAGGACUGCUAAUACUGCAUAACAUCCAGGAGAUUAGAACCUGCUGGAUUAAAGGAUUUUUUCGCUUCGGGAGGGGCCUGCGUCCCAUCAGCUAGUUGGUAAGGUAAUGGCUUACCAAGGCGAUGACGGGUAGGGGACCUGAGAGGGUGACCCCCCACAAUGGAACUGAAACACGGUCCAUCACCUCGGGUGGCAGCAGUAGGGAAUAUUAGUAAUGGGCGAAAGCCUGAACUAGCAACGCCGCGUGUGCGAAGAAGGCCUUCGGGUUGUAAAGCACUUUUUGAGAGGACGAGGAAGGACGGUACUCUCAGAAUAAGUCUCGGMUAACUACCGUGCCAGCAGCCGCGGUAAUACAAG
This 503-nucleotide ribosomal RNA is filed under the name uncultured bacterium. RNAcentral describes it as "bacterial SSU rRNA". It matches the Rfam family "Bacterial small subunit ribosomal RNA", at positions 1 to 530 of the family's 1533-position model. The record is from RNAcentral.